Molecule: ribosomal RNA, 468 nt
Filed under: uncultured bacterium
Lineage: Bacteria
Description: partial 16S ribosomal RNA
Rfam family: Bacterial small subunit ribosomal RNA
Source: RNAcentral
GACGAACGCUGGCGGCGUGCUUAACACAUGCAAGUCGAACGGAAAGGCCCUGCUUUUGUGGGGUGCUCGAGUGGCGAACGGGUGAGUAACACGUGUGUAACCUGCCCUUGACUUUGGGAUAACUUCAGGAAACUGGGGCUAAUACCGGAUAGGCGCUCCUGCUGCAUGGUGGGGGUUGGAAAGUUUCGGCGGUUGGGGAUGGACUCGCGGCUUAUCAGCUUGUUGGUGGGGUAGUGGCUUACCAAGGCUUUGACGGGUAGCCGGCCUGAGAGGGUGACCGGCCACAUUGGGACUGAGAUACGGCCCAGACUCCUACGGGAGGCAGCAGUGGGGAAUAUUGCACAAUGGGCGGAAGCCGGAUGCAGCAACGCCGCGUGCGGGAUGACGGCCUUCGGUUUGUAAACCGCUUUCGCCUGUGACGAAGCGUGAGUGACGGUAAUGGGUAAAGAAGCACCGGCUAACUACGUG